UACCUUAUCUUUUUUGGCCGGCUCACUCCCUACUUCUCUUUUCUUUCUUUUUCUUCUUUUUCAUUUUCGGUAGAACACUCUCUACUCUCAUCCUCUCCACCGGCACUUCCACACCACCACCAUCAUUUUCCGGCAAGAUUACUAGAAAAUUCUUGGGAACCUAUAAACACCUUCACAUCCUUUUUUGAGGUUUGCUUGAUAUUGUUGAGGUUCUAGCUAAUCUCCUUUGGAGCUUGGAGAAUUAGGCUUUUGCGGUUGCAAGGUAAGUAGCUUUUUAAUGGGAUUUUUGGAAAAUAAUCAUGUUGCAUAAACAUUAUUUUUGGGUCAAACACAUUUUGGAAAAUUAAUGGUGGAACUAUGUUUUUCUAAAAGGUGUUGUGUUGUGACCCUACUAUAUAUGAUUAUAUAUGAAAAUGCAUCAUAUUUGGUAUUGCAUUUGGGGAAAUGCAUAGAUUGUUGAUAUGAAAAAAUGAGCAUCUUUUAUUUAAUCUUUGAUAAGAAAAUCUUAGAUUUUAUAGUAUAUUAGAAAAUUUAAAGAUGCUUAUCUUGUCUUGUUAUGUGGGAAAUUGUUAGAAAAUCCUUUGACAAGAAUGAAGUUGAAAACCUUACAAACUUUGUGGAAGUUAGAUUAUUUAAGGUUUUUCUGAAACUAUCUGGUUUUAAACUAUAUAUUUGAAAGGAAAUGUAUACUGUGAGCUUUAUGUGGUUUUGACACCAUGCCAUGUGUGAUUUCCUGGUAAUCACCUGAUUUGGUUUCCGUAGUCUUUGUGACAAUGGAAUCAAAUCCAGGUCAGUGCUCUUUCACUUUGGAUGACGCGUUCUUCCCUGCUGCCCAUGGGGGGAAGAAGUUCUUUGAUUGUGUGUGGAUGAGGCUGCUGCCCAUGGGGCCAAGAGACCACAUGCAAGAGAGGUCAUAUUUGACGCGCUCUUUCUGCUGCCCAUGGGGGGAGAGAAAACCUUGAGGGUAUAGGUGAGGCUGCUGUCCAUGGGGCCAAGAGUCUGCAUACCAGAGAGGACAAUAUCAUGCCAGUUGUGAAUGGGUGGAUCCCCUGACCGAUUUAUGUGGUAAUAUGGUAUAUUUAUGAUAAAUUACCGUAUGUUAGAUUUUAUGGCUUUGGAAAUUAUAUGCUUAGUGCUCACAGAUUAUAGCAUAUAGUUUCAAGGUAUUUACUUUGAGAAACUUUGUGUUUCAUUAUUCAAUCAUUCUUGUCAUUUCAUAUUAUUAUUAUUGAAGAUGAAACUUGCAUUUCCCCCACCCCCAUUAAUUAUACUACUUACUGGGCUUUAGCUCAUCCCAAUCUUUCACAGUCUUACAGAUUAAUUAGCUAUAUCAUGGGAAUGGAGCUUGCCUUAUCGGUAGUGAUUGGAGUUUUAUGCUUAAUUAGGAGACUUACAUUACUAAUGGUUGGUGACUCGAUCUUGCUAUGUUCAAUGAGACAUUAAUUAAUUCUAUUGGAGGUUGGUCACUUGAGGUUUGUUAGCCUUAGGCGUGGUAGGCCUAGACUCGAUAUUAAGAUUCCUUAUCCUUGAUAAGAUUGUGAUUUUGUGUAAUCCAAGAGUUUUGUAAUAUAUGUUCAUGUAUUAUGUGGAAGCACAUGAUUUUUAGUUCUUGUUCAUAAAUGUGUUAUAGAGCUCUGAUUUGUAA
Long non-coding RNA from Quercus robur (English oak), 1645 nucleotides. RefSeq lists it as uncharacterized. The transcript is spliced from 2 exons. The record is from RefSeq and is a predicted model, not a curated record. NCBI's taxonomy places the organism in Eukaryota, Viridiplantae, Streptophyta, Magnoliopsida, Fagales, Fagaceae.